Venturia canescens is the source of this 168-nucleotide long non-coding RNA. RefSeq lists it as uncharacterized. The transcript is spliced from 3 exons. Lineage: Eukaryota; Metazoa; Arthropoda; Insecta; Hymenoptera; Ichneumonidae. The record is from RefSeq and is a predicted model, not a curated record.
GUGUUCUUCCGAUCUGAAAAUAUGGAAAGAAGACACCGUCAAUUUAAUCAUUUUUUAAGUCUUCUUUGAGGUUAGGGAUGUUUCUUUUCCCGUACACACUUCGGAUUUCUUUACCCACUGAUGAAAAACGAAACACGCAGAAGCUGGGUUUCCUAUACGCGACUAUAC